CGGCGUGCCUAAUACAUGCAAGUCGAGCGAACGGACGAGAAGCUUGCUUCUCUGAUGUUAGCGGCGGACGGGUGAGUAACACGUGGAUAACCUACCUAUAAGACUGGGAUAACUUCGGGAAACCGGAGCUAAUACCGGAUAAUAUUUUGAACCGCAUGGUUCAAAAGUGAAAGACGGUCUUGCUGUCACUUAUAGAUGGAUCCGCGCUGCAUUAGCUAGUUGGUAAGGUAACGGCUUACCAAGGCAACGAUGCAUAGCCGACCUGAGAGGGUGAUCGGCCACACUGGAACUGAGACACGGUCCAGACUCCUACGGGAGGCAGCAGUAGGGAAUCUUCCGCAAUUGGGCGAAAGCCUGACGGAGCAACGCCGCGUGACUGAUGAAGGUCUUCGGAUCGUAGAACUCUGUUAUUAGGGAAGAACAUAUGUGUAAGUAACUGUGCACAUCUUGACGGUACCUAAUCAGAAUGCCACGGCUAACUACGUGCCAGCAGCCGCGGUAAUACGUAGGUGGCAAGCGUUAUCCGGAAUUAUUGGGCGUAAAGCGCGCGUAGGCGGUUUUUUAAGUCUGAUGUGAAAGCCCACGGCUCAACCGUGGAGGGUCAUUGGAAACUGGAAAACUUGAGUGCAGAAGAGGAAAGUGGAAUUCCAUGUGUAGCGGUGAAAUGCGCAGAGAUAUGGAGGAACACCAGUGGCGAAGGCGACUUUCUGGUCUGUAACUGACGCUGAUGUGCGAA
RNAcentral lists this ribosomal RNA (736 nucleotides) under uncultured Staphylococcus sp. Its description in RNAcentral is "bacterial SSU rRNA". It matches the Rfam family "Bacterial small subunit ribosomal RNA", at positions 40 to 757 of the family's 1533-position model. Lineage: Bacteria; Bacillati; Bacillota; Bacilli; Caryophanales; Staphylococcaceae. The record is from RNAcentral.